RNAcentral lists this unclassified non-coding RNA (299 nucleotides) under Hevea brasiliensis (rubber tree). The record is from RNAcentral. Lineage: Eukaryota; Viridiplantae; Streptophyta; Magnoliopsida; Malpighiales; Euphorbiaceae.
CAUUUGUGCCAUCAUGUUUUGCAUCAUUUAUUGCAUACACUCCUCUAGCAUCUACUCGCAUUGGCGGUAUCUCUCCUCCAGCAUCAGCUUAGGUCUCUCUCCUCCAUUGCAGCCAAACUAUCUUUUAGCAUUGCAAUAGUCUGAUGCAAUUGUUAAAUUUCUUCCUCCAUUGCCUCCAAUUGAGCAUGAUGGGAUGCAGUAGAAGAUGAUCUAUGUGAUGAGGCAGGUUAGAAAAAUGAUGCUUGGGAUCCAAUGCCAUAAACCUUGUUUUUCUCCUCCCCUCUCCCCCCCCCCCCCCC